GGGCGAGCGCGGUGAGGCGCUCCCGGCCUGGCGUCCUGGUUCCGCAGACCCUGCCGUCUCUCCUGCCCCGGCCCGGCUCACCCUCAUGUACCGCGCGCUGUACGCGUUCCGCUCGGCGGAGCCCAACGCGCUGGCGUUCGCCGCGGGCGAGACCUUCCUGGUUCUGGAGCGCAGCAGCGCGCACUGGUGGCUGGCGGCGCGGGCGCGCAGUGGCGAGACGGGCUACGUGCCACCCGCCUACCUGCGCCGCCUGCAGGGCCUGGAGCAGGAUGUCCUCCAAGCCGUUGACAGGGCCAUUGAGGCUGUGCACAAUGCAGCCAUGCGGGAUGGUGGCAAGUACAGCCUGGAGCAGCGCGGGAUCCUCCAGAAGCUGAUCCACCACCGGAAAGAGACCCUGUCCCGCAGAGGCCCCUCAGCCCCCAACCCUGCAGCUAUGACCCCGUCCACCAGUGACCACCACCUGGAUGCUGCUGCUGCCAGGCAGCCCAAUGGGGUGUGUAGAGCUGGGUUCGAGCGGCAGCACAGCCUGCCCAGUUCUGAGUAUCUUGGGGCAGAUGGAGGCCUCUACCAGAUCCCACCACAGCCUCGCCGGGCAGCACCUGCCACGCCACCCCCACCUGUGAAGCGCCGAGACCGCGAGGCCCUAGUGGCCUCGGGGAGUGGCGGCCGCAACACCACGCCCUCUGGGGGCAGUUCUGUGUCCAGCGGCUCCUCUGUCAGCAGCACCUCCCUUGACACACUCUAUACCGGCUCCAGCUCAUCGGAGCCAGGCCCCAGCUGCUCACCCACGCCCCAACCUGUGCCCCGCCGAGGCACGCAUACCACUGUGUCCCAAGCUCAGCCCCCUCCCUCCAAGGUGCUAAACUCGGAGCCCCCUACAGAGGAGGUAGCAGUUGAUGCAGCCCCAGCCCCUGAUGAGCUGGAAGCCCUGGGUGCGCUGAGCCUGGGGACCACAGAAGAGAAGGCGCUGGCUGAGACUGCUGUGCCCAGGACCAUCGGGGCAGAGCUGAUGGAGCUCGUGCGGAGGAACACCGGCCUGAGCCACGAGCUGUGCCGAGUGGCCAUUGGCGUCGUGGUGGGUCACAUCCAGGCCUCCGUGCCGGCCAGCUCACCUAUCAUGGAGCAGGUCCUCCUCUCACUGGUAGAGGGCAAGGACCUGAGCACUGCUCUGCCCUCAGGGCAGGUCUGCCACGACCAGCAGCGGCUGGAGGUGAUCUUUGCCGACCUGGCCCGGCGGAAGGAUGACGCCCAGCAGCGCAGCUGGGCCCUGUAUGAGGAUGAGGGUGUCAUCCGCUGCUACCUGGAGGAGCUGCUGCACAUUCUGACGGAUGCAGACCCUGAAGUUUGCAAGAAAAUGUGCAAGAGGAAUGAGUUCGAGUCUGUCCUGGCCUUGGUGGCCUAUUACCAAAUGGAGCACCGGGUGUCACUGCGGCUGCUGCUCCUUAAGUGCUUCGGCGCCAUGUGCAGCCUGGACGCAGCCAUCAUCUCCACACUGGUGUCAUCUGUGCUGCCUGUGGAGCUGGCGCGGGACAUGCAGACGGACACACAGGACCAUCAGAAACUCUGUUACUCCGCCCUCAUUCUGGCCAUGGUCUUCUCCAUGGGGGAGGCAGUGCCCUAUGCACACUAUGAGCACCUGGGCACACCCUUCGCCCAGUUCCUGCUGAGCAUCGUUGAGGACGGGCUGCCCUUGGACACCACCGAGCAACUGCCAGAUCUCUGCAUGAAUCUACUUCUGGCUCUCGAUUUGCACCUGCCAGCCCCUGACCAGAACUUCAUCAUGGCCGCCCUGAGCAAACACGCCAAUGUCAAGAUCUUCUCCGAGAAGCUACUGUUGCUCCUGAACAGAGGGGAUGACCCCGUGCGCAUCUUUAAGCAUGAGCCUCAGCCACCACACUCCAUCCUCAAGUUCCUGCAGGACGUGUUCGCCAGCCCCGCCACAGCUGCCAUCUUCUACCACACAGAUAUGAUGGCGCUCAUCGACAUAACCGUGCGGCACAUCGCGGACCUGUCGCCUGGAGAUAAGCUUCGCAUGGAGUACCUCUCCCUGAUGCACGCUGUGGUCCGCUCCACACCCUACCUACAGCACCGCCACCGGCUCCCCGACCUGCAGGCCACACUGCGACGCAUCCUAACCGAGGAGGAAGCCUCGCCCCAGUGCCAGAUGGACCGCAUGAUUGUCCAAGAGAUGUGCAAGGAAUUCCCGGUGCUGGGCGAGGCCCCCAGCUAGCACCUUCUUUUCCUCCCUUCCCUGCAGCCUUGGGUAGGGUGCAGGGGACUCGGAGGCUUGGCCCUAAGAAUGUUUUGCACUGACAGUGUGAGGGGAGGUGUUGGUGGAAGGGACCUAAGCAGGGGCCCCCACCUGAAAUAGAGCUAAUGAGAGGGGCCAAGCGCAGGAUUAGGGACCAUGCGCUGGGAGCUAUGCUGGGGCAGGGGGAGUGUGAACUGAAGCCCCUCCAUCUCCCGCUGGGCUGCCUAUUCAGCAUGCCUCCCCACGCCACACACAUGCACACUCAGAGUCCUGCUGCUGCUCCAGGCUGGGCCAGAGCCCUCAUCCCUUGCGCCCACCUGGUCUGUGUCCUGGGCUUCAGCAAGCUGUGUCCCUGGGGUGAGAGGAGGCACCUUCCGCCAGCUCCGUUCUUUGCCUUAGCUUCGCAGUGAGUGCUGCUCAUGUGCUCUGUCCCCCCAGCUGCCACCCCGUGGGGGUCUCUGCCCCUCAUUCCAACCCCAGAGGCCUUGGCCAAGCUGCUGCUUUGAAAGCAGAGUCUUAGAGACAGGCCAUCCACCCUGGAGCCUCACAGAAUGAGGUGAUGGCACUGAUAAAGUCAAUGACAGAAUAUAUUUUCUCUGUAAAAACGUAGACCGAAAAGCCAUGUGUAUUUUCCUAUGUGCUGCAGCUCAGCUUGGAAAUAAAUCACAGGCAUCUGGAAACAGGCUUCCUGUAUGAUCCUGAGUGGUGGUGGGAGAGGAUGGUCAGGGGCACUGGGGCCUCAGGACCUGUCCUCUCCAGCCUGAGGAGGUGAUGGUCCCUGACAGGCCUCUCCAUUGAGGUCCCUUGAGCCCUGUUCCAGCCUCUCUUCCCUGGGUUCCCACUUCUCCUGGGCCACGGCCACAGCCACUGAGAGCCCCGUGGUCCAUUUGCAGGUGACCUCUCCAGGCUUCACUUAAUCUUUCUUUGCCUUGAAUGCUGUGUCUGUCUCCCCUGUUGAAACCCUAUAUCCUUUACACCUGUUCUCAAAUGAAGCGUCUCCUAUCCAAGCCCUGGCCUCCCCGAACUCCUAGGCCUGCCCAGCUGUUUGCCUUCCUUAUUUGCCUCCCCCUGGAUCCAGCGAUGUUCCCUCAUUUUGCAGCCUUAGCGGUGAUUUGGUAAUUACGGUAGGACAAAAAGAAUAUCUCAACGAGUGUGGGGUUAGUUGUGCACUGUUUGAGGGGAAUCAGAGGCCAAGGCUGGACAAAAAACUUUUUCCUCGUGGGCUCCGCAGUUAACGAAGCCUGUCACCAUAACUUGGGGAAGAGAGUCAAAACCUGUAGGCAGACACCAGGCAGCAGUGGUUUCCAUCAGAUCCCUUCAGUUUGUUACCCAAGACGAGUUUCAUCAGAUUCCACACAUCGAGAAUCACUGAUACUGCGACUUCUCGCCACGACUUUUCCUUUCUUAAUGGGGUGCUGAAGGCAGAGGGCUGUUACUCUCCCAGCAGAACGCAAUACAGCAAGAAGCCCAGCAAAGCCAGUCUAGGGGUGGGGUCCCAGGGAAACAGGUCCAUGGGAGCAAAGCAGAGGAGGCCAGCAGGGAGAUGUCCUUCCUGACCUGUUGACUCUUCCGGAAGUUUAAGUGCACAGGCUCACCUGGACCUGAGGAGGAGCUGACACAGUUGUCUGCAGGAAAGCUGUGUGUGGUACCACCUGGUCACUUCAUCCUGGAGGCCUCUGCCUCCCUUCCACAGAUGGAAUCAACAAUGCUGACUUCCAGGCUCCAGACGCACAGGUUCAGCUGCCAUGGCUCACGGGCACAGCCACUCCGCGGCAUGUGGGAUCUUCCUGGACUGGGGCACGAACCCAUGUCCCCUGCAUCGGCAGGCGGACUCCCAACCACUGCGCCACCAGGGAAGCCCCUCAUGUCUUUAUUCUUGAUUCUCUUCUUCAUUCUUCUUUUUUUGUUACAAUCACAGGUUUAUAUAUUGUAGUUGAUUACGUUACCAGGUAUGUGGCCAAACAAUCUUAGCACAAUCAAACCUCAAAAUAUUCUAUAAAGAUUUUUUAAAACAAAUAUCCCCUAGUUUCUAGAUGUCCUAUUAAAAUAUUUCCCCAAGUUCCCAUUAAUCACAGGUUGUUUCUUAGUAACCAAGUCAAGCAAUUAUAUGAUUAUAUCAAUUGUAAAAGUUGGAGCUACUUGUUCCUAUUUUUCUUCUUGCAUGAGCAACCUUUUACAAUGGUUCCAUGAAAAUAUUUACAAUGUACCUGCAUGCUCUUUCUCGUUUCCUUCAACUGAGACAGUGUUUUCUCCCUAUCCUGGCAAUGAAUUCUGCUCUAGUCAUUUGUUUUUCUAUAAUUAAUCUUCCUUUAUAAUAGAACCAUAAAUUUCCUAUGUCGUCAUCAGGAACUCCGGCCCAUGGCCAUAACUCCAUACUAGAGGGUGUUUUUCAUAAAAACAUCCCCUUAGUUCCAGGGUCUUAAUUCUUUACCUAUUUCCCCGGGGCUUUAGUGGGUACUUCCCAUUCUGUGGUAGUUUCAGGAGGGGGAGUCCUAGAGGAAUUUUUCUUUCACGUGGAGCAACAUCCCCCCAAAAUUGCCCCUGUAUGUAAAUUUAUCAUCAUAAAACAUAACAACGGAGCUGUAGUCCACCUUCCUGGCACGACGCUGCCUUGCAGUUUCGCCUUCCGUUGCUCAUGACUUUGUCAUGGUGCAAUGGCUCCAGGAUGGCUUCCGACAGUGGGGCUGAGGAUAACUCAAAAUUUUU
This is an RNA transcript of Mesoplodon densirostris (Blainville's beaked whale), 4957 nucleotides long. It is a transcript of the gene named NCK interacting protein with SH3 domain, with no coding region annotated. NCBI's taxonomy places the organism in Eukaryota, Metazoa, Chordata, Mammalia, Artiodactyla, Ziphiidae. The record is from RefSeq and is a predicted model, not a curated record. The transcript is spliced from 14 exons.